This 700-nucleotide ribosomal RNA is filed under the name uncultured bacterium. RNAcentral's name for it is "bacterial SSU rRNA". It matches the Rfam family "Bacterial small subunit ribosomal RNA", at positions 42 to 788 of the family's 1533-position model. The record is from RNAcentral.
UCAGGCCUAACACAUGCAAGUCGAGCGCGCCCUUCGGGGUGAGCGGCGGACGGGUUAGUAACGCGUGGGAAUAUACCCUUUGGUACGGAAUAGCCUCUGGAAACGGAGAGUAAUACCGUAUGUGCCCUUCGGGGGAAAGAUUUAUCGCCAAAGGAUUAGCCCGCGUUAGAUUAGGUAGUUGGUGGGGUAAUGGCCUACCAAGCUUACGAUCUAUAGCUGGUUUUAGAGGAUGAUCAGCAACACUGGGACUGAGACACGGCCCAGACUCCUACGGGAGGCAGCAGUGGGGAAUCUUGGACAAUGGGGGCAACCCUGAUCCAGCCAUGCCGCGUGAGUGAUGAAGGCCUUAGGGUCGUAAAGCUCUUUCGCCUGUGAAGAUAAUGACGGUAGCAGGUAAAGAAACCCCGGCUAACUCCGUGCCAGCAGCCGCGGUAAUACGGAGGGGGUUAGCGUUGUUCGGAAUUACUGGGCGUAAAGCGCACGUAGGCGGAUCGGAAAGUUGGGGGUGAAAUCCCGGGGCUCAACCCCGGAACUGCCUCCAAAACUAUCGGUCUAGAGUUCGAGAGAGGUGAGUGGAAUUCCGAGUGUAGAGGUGAAAUUCGUAGAUAUUCGGAGGAACACCAGUGGCGAAGGCGGCUCACUGGCUCGAUACUGACGCUGAGGUGCGAAAGUGUGGGGAGCAAACAGGAUUAGAUACCCU